This 503-nucleotide ribosomal RNA is filed under the name Metschnikowia laotica. RNAcentral describes it as "eukaryotic LSU rRNA". It matches the Rfam family "Eukaryotic large subunit ribosomal RNA", at positions 65 to 581 of the family's 3401-position model. Lineage: Eukaryota; Fungi; Ascomycota; Pichiomycetes; Serinales; Metschnikowiaceae. The record is from RNAcentral.
CCAACCGGGAUUGCCCCAGUAACGGCGAGUGAAGCGGCAAAAGCUCAAAUUCUGGAAUCCCUCGGGAAUUGUAAUUUGAAGGUCUUGUGGCACCAAAGUUGAAUUGUGCAAGUCCAUUGGAACAUGGCGCCAAGGAGGGUGACAGCCCCGUGGCACAAAUCAUGGAGGUAAUAACUACAGGGCCAAAGAGUCGAGUUGUUUGGGAAUGCAGCUCUAAGUGGGUGGUAAAUUCCAUCUAAAGCUAAAUAUAGGCGAGAGACCGAUAGCGAACAAGUACAGUGAUGGAAAGAUGAAAAGCACUUUGAAAAGAGAGUGAAACAGUACGUGAAAUUGUUGGAAGGGAAGGGCUUGCAAGCAGACACAACAUUUUAUGUUGGGCCAGCAUCGGGGCGAGGAGGGAGAAAAUCGGCGGUGAAUGUGGGUCCAAGUUUCGGCUUGGACUGUUUAUAGCGCCGCCGGAUGUCCCUCGUUUUCCCGAGGCCAGCGAAUUUCUAUUCUACUAU